This 85-nucleotide transfer RNA is filed under the name Elusimicrobia bacterium RIFCSPLOWO2_12_FULL_59_9. RNAcentral's name for it is "tRNA-Leu". It matches the Rfam family "tRNA". From Rfam's summary of the family: Transfer RNA (tRNA) molecules are approximately 80 nucleotides in length. Lineage: Bacteria; Pseudomonadati; Elusimicrobiota. The record is from RNAcentral.
GCCCAGGUGGCGGAACUGGCAGACGCGCAGGUCUCAAAAACCUGUGGCCUUCACGGUCAUGUGGGUUCGACCCCCACCCUGGGCA